GACGAACGCUGGCGGCGUGCCUAAUACAUGCAAGUUGAGCGCUGAAGGUUGGUACUUGUACCGACUGGAUGAGCAGCGAACGGGUGAGUAACGCGUGGGGAAUCUGCCUUUGAGCGGGGGACAACAUUUGGAAACGAAUGCUAAUACCGCAUAAAAACUUUAAACACAAGUUUUAAGUUUGAAAGAUGCAAUUGCAUCACUCAAAGAUGAUCCCGCGUUGUAUUAGCUAGUUGGUGAGGUAAAGGCUCACCAAGGCGAUGAUACAUAGCCGACCUGAGAGGGUGAUCGGCCACAUUGGGACUGAGACACGGCCCAAACUCCUACGGGAGGCAGCAGUAGGGAAUCUUCGGCAAUGGACGAAAGUCUGACCGAGCAACGCCGCGUGAGUGAAGAAGGUUUUCGGAUCGUAAAACUCUGUUGGUAGAGAAGAACGUUGGUGAGAGCGGAAAGCUCAUCAAGUGACGGUAACUACCCAGAAAGGGACGGCUAACUACGUG
RNAcentral lists this ribosomal RNA (497 nucleotides) under uncultured bacterium. RNAcentral describes it as "partial 16S ribosomal RNA". It matches the Rfam family "Bacterial small subunit ribosomal RNA", at positions 28 to 507 of the family's 1533-position model. The record is from RNAcentral.